RNAcentral lists this transfer RNA (73 nucleotides) under Bacteroidota bacterium. RNAcentral describes it as "Bacteroidetes bacterium tRNA-His". It matches the Rfam family "tRNA". From Rfam's summary of the family: Transfer RNA (tRNA) molecules are approximately 80 nucleotides in length. Their secondary structure includes four short double-helical elements and three loops (D, anti-codon, and T loops). Further hydrogen bonds mediate the characteristic L-shaped molecular structure. tRNAs have two regions of fundamental functional importance: the anti-codon, which is responsible for specific mRNA codon recognition, and the 3' end, to which the tRNAs corresponding amino acid is attached (by aminoacyl-tRNA synthetases). tRNAs cope with the degeneracy of the genetic code in two manners: having more than one tRNA (with a specific anti-codon) for a particular amino acid; and 'wobble' base-pairing, i.e. permitting non-standard base-pairing at the 3rd anti-codon position. The record is from RNAcentral. Lineage: Bacteria; Pseudomonadati; Bacteroidota.
GUAGCUCAGUUGGUUAGAGCGCUGGAUUGUGGUUCCAGAGGUCGCCGGUUCGAACCCGGUCUUUCACCCUCCA